Molecule: long non-coding RNA, 4917 nt
Filed under: Sinocyclocheilus grahami
Lineage: Eukaryota; Metazoa; Chordata; Actinopteri; Cypriniformes; Cyprinidae
Description: lncRNA (ENSSGRG00000043230.1)
Source: RNAcentral
AUGCAGGGAUAUACAUGGAGUUCAAAUCAGCAUCCUUCAACAAGAUGCCAAGAUCAGCCUCCACCUCAAUACCAAGAACGACUUCCUCCUCAGUACCAAGAAUGGUCUCCACCUCAGUACCAAGAACAAUUCCCACCUAAGUACCAUGCUGUCAGGAAUGAUCAACCCAAUGCGUUCCAGGUACAGCUCAUCUCUCAACUUCAAACCACAUUACAGACAAGAUAUUCCAAUGGACAACAAGAGGCUGCAAAUCAGUGGAGCACUUGUUCAGGCAGUGCAGACUCUUCUGCUUUUCAACCAAAUUCAGAUGGAUAUAAUCGGUUGAAACGGACAAACCAGAUCAAUCCCCAAUACCCAUUUGCAGCCUCCAACACACAGCAGCACUACCCAUCUGACAACCCCAAUGCAUAUAGGUAUCAUGCCCAGUUCAUGCAAUGGCAUGAUUCCUCCCCACAGAACUACAGAAACACAGGCUGUAGUCAAGCUCAAAUGUACCAUGGCAGCUCUGUGGGUAACCGCAGGGGUUGGAGUUCCCACAUUUCCAACAAUGGCAGCUCUCGUUCCAUGAACAAUCAGCAACAACUUCAGCCUCUUAGAAUGGCUCCUCUUCUUCAUCACCAACAACAACAAGAGUUCUCUAGACAAUAUACAGGCAAAAAACAAAGAUGCUACACACAAUACUCUUCUCGGGCCCAUAACAAUGGAGUCUCCCAAAAAAAUCCUAACAAUCAAGCUCAGAGCAGAACUGAGGCCAAUCAUACCUCAUGCAACUCUAUGACACCACCUUCUGGAGCACAGAGCAAUGUUUCAUUACCUUCCAAUAAUGUGAACCAAAGUCCUGUUAACCAGAAACGGUCAGAACUGGGGUCAAAUGCAGGUCCAAAUGUAUCUGCGACCCAGUCUCAGAAUAAUCAAAAUACUGCACAUCAGUCUCAGGGCACAAGCAGUGAGACAUAUAACACUAAUCAGACUUCUCAAAUGACACAGACCAGUGAAGCCCAGCUUCAGCCCCAAUCUAUAACUGAUUUUAACUUGUCAGCUUAUGCUGACUCAAUAAUAUAUAGAUUACUGUGUUCAAAUGACAAUGGACAAGCAAAUAAGCAGCAAUCAGAUGAAAGAAUUACUCAUCAGAACACUCGUCCAGAAAAGUCGGAGGUUUGUAAAACCAAAAGGACUGACAGUCACUCAAAGGAACCUUUUUCUGAACCAAGAGAACAGUGUACAGUUGAACCACCCAGUAAAAGAAUGAAGUAUGCUGUGUUUCAGAGAGACUGUCGGAACAAAGAAACAAUAGUGUCCAAAGACAUAAGUAAUUUUGGGGUGCUAUCUGCCCAAGCUGGUACCCAUCAGACAAGUAGCAAUGAGAACAGACUUAAAGGAAUGAGCCAACACAACAUACAGUACAGUACGGAUGCAGCAGACUGUCUUGAAGUGGUCUUUGCACUACAGAAAGCUGCUCAGCAAACUCACAAGGCCAUUGCCAUCGUUCCACCUAUUUACCAGCAGAUCUCAAACGCUGCACCAAUGGCUGAUACCAGCCCAAAAAAAGCUGAUAGUCCACUGUUAAAGAUUGAUUCUGUUUGGUCACUUGUUGAAGAAUCUAACAAACAAAAAACUGUAAAUGACAAGCUGUCUGAAUCCUCCUCACAAAUGGCUCAACAGAACAACAAAAGCCUUGAAAAUGCAACUGCAAACAACAUGGCAGACCCAGAUACAUGCUCUGCUAGCCCAGUUGAAUGUCAAAAUGAUGUGCAGCAAAGUGACUGUGAUUCAGAUGGUCCUUCAUUUGACGUGUCCAGUGUGCCAGUGAUUGAGUACACACUGGAGAAACUGAUGGAGUUAGUGAAGUCUAUAGAGAUGAAAGAGUUAUCGGCCGGAUAUCCUGAGAAAUCUCAGAGCAUUUUAGAAAGGAUCUUAAAACUCUACUGGAAUGGGAAAGCUUCCAAUAUGUUGGAGCCUUUGAAAUCAUUAAGAGAGGCACUGCAAUUAUCCAUAGAAUAUGCAAAGGAUUAUGGGUCUGUGGUAUUUAAAAGCAUCGAAACUGAAAACCUGAAGAAGCUAGCUCAUUGCAACAUUCUCAAACAUGAGACAUAUUCAUGGUCAGAGGAGUUCAGAUCUUCUUGGUUAAAUGUUGAUGGACAGCCAGCUGAUAUUGAAAAGGUGCUUUCAGAACCACUGUUGGAUGACAUAACUGUGUUCAAGGCAACAUCACAGUCCUUUUCAGAUAACACUGUUGUCACUUCAGCCAGAUUAGGUGUGAAUUCCCUCACAGACAUGACUGAGGUUUCAUCCAAGGAGAAAAGUGUAAAUCCAGACACUUGCAGUCCAACAGAUCUUUUCAUGCAAAUGGCAGGAAAUGACAGGGGGGAAGUGGCUGCGGAAAACAAUGGGCAUUCAUAUGUAGUGCUCAGAAAAGAAAGUGAGAAAGAGACAUUCAAGAAGCAAGAGGACAUCAAUCAAAACCACAUUUUUAACAUAGAGCCUUCAGACAUCACACCUUUAGCUGAAAGGUCUACAGAGAGACUUACAGACCUCAGCAAUGCAAAAGAAGUAUUCAGACAAGAUCACGAGCAAACACGUGAUGAUAAUGUAUCAGAUUCACUUUCUCUGAGUCCUGGAGACAGUGUUUCAGAUGGUGUGAAAAACUCUGUUGUGUCUUUCUCUACUGAGACUCAUUGUAGCUCCAUGGAAACAUGGCAGGUAGAAGAUAUUUCUGAUGAUGAAAAUACAGGCAGUAAAGAGGCUCUGAAUAACUCCUCGGACACCUGGCUUGUAGAAGAUAUUUCUGAUGAUGAAAAUACAGGCAACAAGGAGGCUCUUAACACCUCAGACACCUGGCUUGUAGAAGAUAUUUCUGAUGAUGAAAAUUCUGGAAAUAAGGAUGUUCUUCUUAAUUCCUCAAACACCUGGCAAGUGGAAAACAUCUCUGAUGAUGAGAAUCCAGGCAAUAUGGACACUCCUAGUAACUCCGCAGACAUAUGUGCGGUGGAAAAUGAAUCUACUGAUGAAAAUUCAAGUGCUGAUUCCUUGUUUAUGGGAAUCACGGUGCUAUCAUCGGAAGAUGCUAAAACAUUUUUCCAAUAUAUUGAAAAGGAUCCUGGAUGUACCAUCAAAACCAAAUCCCAAUCCAAAUUGGAGAGCCCAGAUCUUGUAGCAUGCUUUGAUGCACCCAGUCAACUUAACCAGGAGUACAACAAAGCACAUACUUGCUCUCGCUGUGGUACCCAAAUUGUGAAAUCUAAUUCCACUAAUGUGACAAAGACGGACAGUGAUGCUGAUCUUUUCUGCCUCCAGUGUUGGGAACAGGCACCAUUGUUUGAGCUAGAAGAGGAGCCAUGCUCUCCAAUGACAGAUGAGGUCAAUCUGGGCUAUGCUGCUAAAUCAAAUGAACUGGGUCAAAAUGAUAGUCUGCCAUGUCUUAAGUUGGAAGUCAAUGAGCCAAAUGUGGCUUCAACAAAGGAAUGCAUUGCAUAUGAAGGACUGAAAGGACAAAAAAAUUGUUGUCUUUUAACAUCAGACCCGGGGGAAAAUUGUAGUCCACCAUGUCUUAAAAUAGAAGUCAAGGAGCUAACUGUUGCACCAAAUGAUGAAUGCAUUGCGAAUGAAGGACUGGCAGGACAAAAGAGUGUGUUCUUGGUAAAAUCAGAACAGGGACACAAUUGUAGUCUGCCAUCUCUUGAACUGAAAGUCAAGAAGCCAAAUGUUGCUCCACUGGAGGCAUGCAUAGCAGAGGAAGGACUGAUGGGACAAAAAAGAGGCAGUAUGGUAAAAUCAGAACUGGUAGAAAGCUGUUGUCCACCAUCUCUUGAACUAGAAAUCAAGGAGCCAACAGUUGCUUCAACAACGGAAUGCAUUGCAGAUGAAGGACAAAAAAGUGACAGUAUAAUACAAUCAGAACUGAGACCAAAUUGUAGUCUACCAUCUCUUGAACUAGAAGUCAAGGAGCCAACUGUUACUUCAGCAGAGGACUGCAUUGCAGAUAAAGGACUGACGAGACAAAAAAUUGACAGUAUGGUAAAAUCGGUGACUGAGACAAUGUCUGAAAAUCAGGGGUCAGCUGAACGGGAGCUAACCAAGAUUCAACCAAAUAAGCAAAAAAAUGAGAAAAUUAGAGUACCCAAGCCCCAAUCUUUCACGCAGUGCAGAAAAUCAUUUUCAAAGAAAACUGCAUUUUUCAAGCAUAAGCUAAAAUCUGGUAGCACUAGUACUGGUUCUGAUGAUUCUGUGCUUUUCGCUCCAGAUAUUAUAGUUAAAAUGAACUGGCCACAAAAGAAAAAUCAACCUCGUGAUUCUGCAAACAAACGCUGUAGUGGUGAGAGUCAGAACUGCAGUAAGGUGAAAAAAUGUAAAGAACAUGGGCAAGAAAGACGAGAUAAUCAUGACAGAACCUCAACAAAACAUAGAGAAAACCUACAGAAAGUGACAGAGAAAGUGUCUGGUCAAUCAAGUGACACACCACCCCACGGAUCAGAAAAGAAGCUGGAGCUGCAUGGUAUUCUGUCAGUGAAUAAAAUGAAAAGAACUGAACCAAAAAAAGUGAGAUUUGAUUUAUAUGGGUCCAAAACAGAAAAACAGUACUAUCCCCGAGAGCGGCAUUUUACUGCCCCUGCUACCUUAACAGUCUCUGAUUGCAAAGACUAUACCGAUGUGCUUUCUGCUAAACAAAAAGUUCACAACCAAUGGAGUAGCACCUUUAUACCUAAAACAAAGAAGGCUUGUCCUCCCAGGUCACCACAGGAGAGUGGACCACAGAAGAAAAAAACACAGAAACCUCAGGAUCUCUUAAAGUCAAAUAUGAGUGCAUUAAGAAACCAUUUGACUCACAGAGCCAAGCUAUUAUCCAGUAGUGACAUAGAGACAAGUCACAUAAGAAAACCAUAUUUUCAUCAAAAGCUUACGAAAACACUAAGCAGCUAA